This is a small nuclear RNA of Artibeus jamaicensis (Jamaican fruit-eating bat), 107 nucleotides long. NCBI's taxonomy places the organism in Eukaryota, Metazoa, Chordata, Mammalia, Chiroptera, Phyllostomidae. The record is from RefSeq and is a predicted model, not a curated record.
GGGCUCCUUCCUGCAGCACAUACACUAAAACCAAAAUGACACACAGAAGAAUCAAAUGACCCCUGCAUGACAAUGACACACAAAUUUGUGAAGCUUUAUAUAUAUUU